UUUCCGUAGGUGAACCUGCGGAAGGAUCAUUAUUGUAUAACCGAGGUGCGAGGGCUGUCGCUGACCCGAAAGGUCGUGCACGCCCGAGUGCCCUCACACACAUCCACCUCACCCCUAUGUGCACCACCGCGUGGGUCCCCCUUUGGCUUGUUCGGAGGGGGGCUUACGUUUUCACACAAACUUUGUAUGCAGUGUAGAAUGUAUUUUUUGUUUUUGCGAUCACGCAAUCAAUACAACUUUCAACAACGGAUCUCUUGGCUCUC
RNAcentral lists this unclassified non-coding RNA (263 nucleotides) under plant metagenome. Its description in RNAcentral is "partial contains small subunit ribosomal RNA, internal transcribed spacer 1, and 5.8S ribosomal RNA". The record is from RNAcentral.